Molecule: ribosomal RNA, 482 nt
Filed under: uncultured bacterium
Lineage: Bacteria
Description: partial 16S ribosomal RNA
Rfam family: Bacterial small subunit ribosomal RNA
Source: RNAcentral
AUUGAACGCUGGCGGCAUGCUUUACACAUGCAAGUCGAACGGUAACAUUCCGCUAGUUGUUGCCGAGUGGCGCAUGGGUGGUUAAUGCAUCGGCACGUGCUCAGUCUUAGAGGUUAACUACUCUGCUAAUUAGCUAAUACCUCACACGAUCUAUGAUUUAUAGCCUGGGACUGUAAGGCCUCUCGCUAUUGGAGCUGCUGAUGUCAGAUUAGGUAGUUGGUGGGGUAAAGGGCUACUAAGACAACGUGCUGUAGCUGGUCUGAGAGGACGACCAGCCACACUGGGACUGAGAGACGGCCAAGAAUCCUACGGGAGGCAGCAGUGGGGAAUUUUGGACAAAGGGAGCAAGCGUGAUCAAGCAAUGCCGCGUGCAGGAAGAAGGCAUUAGGGUUGUAAAAUGGUUUUGUACGGAACGAAACGGAUCUGGUUAAUACCCGGAGCUAAUGACGGUACCGGAAGAAUAAGCACCGGCUAAAUACGUG